Molecule: ribosomal RNA, 694 nt
Filed under: uncultured bacterium
Lineage: Bacteria
Description: bacterial SSU rRNA
Rfam family: Bacterial small subunit ribosomal RNA
Source: RNAcentral
AACGCUAGCUACAGGCUUAACACAUGCAAGUCGCGGGGUAACGAGAGGGAAGCUUGCUUUCCUUGUCGACGACCGGCGCACGGGUGAGUAACGCGUAUCCAACCUGCCCAUUACCACGGGAUACCCCGUCGAAAGGCGGCCUAAUACCGUAUGCAGUCGUCAGAUGACAUCAGAGGACGACGAAAGGAUUGGCGGUAAUGGAUGGGGAUGCGUCUGAUUAGGUAGUUGGAGGGGUAACGGCCCACCAAGCCAUCGAUCAGUAGGGGUUCUGAGAGGAAGGUCCCCCACAUUGGAACUGAGACACGGUCCAAACUCCUACGGGAGGCAGCAGUGAGGAAUAUUGGUCAAUGGGCGCGAGCCUGAACCAGCCAAGUAGCGUGAGGGACGACGGCCCUAUGGGUUGUAAACCUCUUUUAUGCGGGAAUAAAAUGUUUGACGUGUCAUACAUUGUAGGUACCGCAAGAAUAAGGACCGGCUAAUUCCGUGCCAGCAGCCGCGGUAAUACGGAGGAUCCGAGCGUUAUCCGGAUUUAUUGGGUUUAAAGGGAGCGUAGGCGGACGCUUAAGUCAGUUGUGAAAGUUUGCGGCUCAACCGUAAAAUUGCAGUUGAUACUGGGUGUCUUGAGUACAGUAGAGGCAGGCGGAAUUCGUGGUGUAGCGGUGAAAUGCUUAGAUAUCACGAAGAACUCCGAUUG